AUAUACGCUCGUCUCAAAGGUUAAGCCAUGCAUGUCUAAGUACAAACUAAAAUAAAGUGAAACCGCAAAAGGCUCAGUAUAACAGCUGUAAUUUCUUAGAUCAUAUUCCCAGUACUUGGAUAACUGUGGAAAAUCUAGAGCUAAUACAUGCAUAUAAUACGAGUACCCGUCAAAAGGUUCUCGUGCAGUUAUUAGACAAACCAAUCAACCGCUUCGGUGGAUGUUUAAUGUGGUGGAACUCUAGAUAACUUUGCUGAUCGUAUGGCCUUGUGCCGACGACAGAUCUUUCAAAUGUCUGCCCUAUCAACUUUGAUGGUAGUAUAGAGGACUACCAUGGUUGCUACGGGUAACGGGGAAUCAGGGUUCGAUUCCGGAGAGGGAGCCUGAGAAAUGGCUACUACUUCUAAGGAUCGGCAGCAGGCGCGUAAAUUACCCACUCCCGGCACGGGGAGGUAGUGACGAAAAAUAACAAUAUAGAACUAAUUAUUUAGUUCUGUAAUUGGAAUGAAUCGAGUAUAAAUCCUUCAAUGAGGAUCAAGUGGAGGGCAAGUCUGGUGCCAGCAGCCGCGGUAAUUCCAGCUCCACUAGCGUAUGUUAAAAUUGUUGCGGUUAAAACGUUCGAAGUUCAUUUUUGUUCAGUACGGGUGUGACGCCAUCAAGUUAUGGCUGUCAUCAUUUCCGAUUACUUGAACUACAUGACUGAACACUUAAUGAAUAGCACCGAUGCCUUUCACUAGGCUAAGUGUCUAUUUAGUUCGGCUUACUUUUACCUUGAACAAAUUAAGGUGCUCAAAGCAGGCUCUAAUGCCUUGAAUAUUUUUGCAUGGAAUAAUGGAAAAAGACCUCGGUCUUAUAGGUAU
Molecule: ribosomal RNA, 860 nt
Filed under: Chironomidae sp. Chiro_H4
Lineage: Eukaryota; Metazoa; Arthropoda; Insecta; Diptera; Chironomidae
Description: bacterial SSU rRNA
Rfam family: Eukaryotic small subunit ribosomal RNA
Source: RNAcentral